CCUACGAGAGGCUGCAGUGAGGAAUAUUGGUCAAUGGACGCAAGUCUGAACCAGCCAUGCCGCGUGCAGGAAGACGGCUCUAUGAGUUGUAAACUGCUUUUGUACGAGGGUAAACGCAGAUACGCGUAUCUGUCUGAAAGUAUCGUACGAAUAAGGAUCGGCUAACUCCGUGCCAGCAGCCGCGGUAAUACGGAGGAUUCAAGCGUUAUCCGGAUUUAUUGGGUUUAAAGGGUGCGUAGGCGGUCGGAUAAGUUAGAGGUGAAAUCCCGAGGCUCAACUUCGGAAUUGACUCUGAUACUGUUCGGCUAGCGAGUAGUUGCGGUAGGCGGAAUGUAUGGUGUAGCGGUGAAAUGCUUAGAGAUCAUACAGAACACCGAUUGCGAAGGCAGCUUACCAAGCUACGUCUGACGUUGAGGCACGAAAGCGUGGGGAGCAAACAGGAUUAGAUACCCGUGUAGUC
Molecule: ribosomal RNA, 460 nt
Filed under: uncultured bacterium
Lineage: Bacteria
Description: partial 16S ribosomal RNA
Rfam family: Bacterial small subunit ribosomal RNA
Source: RNAcentral